AUACUUACCUGGAUGGGGUCAAUGGGUGAUCAUGAAGGCCUAUGGCCUAGAAAGGUGACCUCCAUUGCACUUAGGAGGGGUGUUUUUCUAAGGUCUAUCCAAGUGGUGGAGCCUACAUUAUAAUUUGUUGCUGAGGGGGUCUGCGUUCGCGCGGCUUCCAU
RNAcentral lists this small nuclear RNA (161 nucleotides) under Medicago truncatula (barrel medic). Its description in RNAcentral is "sRNA gene44178". It matches the Rfam family "U1 spliceosomal RNA". From Rfam's summary of the family: U1 is a small nuclear RNA (snRNA) component of the spliceosome (involved in pre-mRNA splicing). Its 5' end forms complementary base pairs with the 5' splice junction, thus defining the 5' donor site of an intron. The record is from Rfam by way of RNAcentral. Lineage: Eukaryota; Viridiplantae; Streptophyta; Magnoliopsida; Fabales; Fabaceae.